Molecule: long non-coding RNA, 767 nt
Filed under: Crocodylus porosus (Australian saltwater crocodile)
Lineage: Eukaryota; Metazoa; Chordata; Crocodylia; Crocodylidae
Description: lncRNA (ENSCPRG00005005003.1)
Source: RNAcentral
AAAACCCAAUAUAGUUUAGCCACUAGGCACCAAAAGCUAGUACUUUUUUUUCUGAUCUUAUUUAUUCCCAGAUUUUCAAUAGUCCUCCUAGAAAAUACUUUAAGAUUAGUAUUGCUCAUCUUUUCUCAAAGUUCAAUAUAGAUACAGACUAGACCAUCCCCAUGAGGUUGUACUCUCUCGAUUAGGAAGUCUCACAUGGUUCUCUCUUCACCAGGACACUACUGCAGCUGCUACUAAUUAUUUUGGAUAAAACAUUAGCAAUGAGAUGCAUCAGUGUGGCUUGCACACUUUUGCCCUCUUUUGUCCCAUGGUGUGGCACAAUUAAAUCAUCACCACCAUCAUCAUCAGAUGUACAUCAAAGAAGAGGAGCUCCAGACAAAAGGAAUAUACAGAUUUCAUUACUUGAUGGAAGAGACUAUGACACACAAGCUACUAAGGACCUGCCAUUUUUCUCAUUUGAAAGUUUCUUAAUGUUUCAAAGAGGCAAAACAACAAAUGCAAUUAUUUGACACCACUGACUAUCCCACUCGAUCCAAAGCCGACCUGUUCUCACUGACCAAUGCAUUUGGAGCUUCCAAUGUUGAAGACUGGAAUGAAACCAAAGACGCAAUGAAACGCCAGGAGUUGCAGAAUGCUCCAGGAUCAGCCCAUUGAUCCAGUCAAAUACUGCAUGAGGUCUCAUGUGAGAGUCUCAAUCUCACGACUCAUCUCUCGAGUAACUAUCUUCAGUUAAGUUAAAUCUGGGAUGAAAAUACUUUUUUUAAAAC